GGCAUUCUGAGCUUUUUGCCAAACCACUGUGAACAGCUUAGACUUCGGUCUUUGCAAUUGCUUGGGUGUCGAAAGGCGCCCAAUCUUUAAAACUUUUAUAUUUGUUCUGAAACAAUGAAAAUUUAAAACUUUCAACAACGGAUCUCUUGGUUCUCGUAUCGAUGAAGAACGCAGCAAAGCGCGAUAGGUAAUGCGAAUUGCAGACGUGAGUCAUUGAAUUUUUGAACGCAUAUUGCGCUAUUAGUUUGUCUAAUAGCAUGCUUGUUGGAGUGAUAAUCUUCCUCUCAACCAUUUUUGGUAUGAGGUCUUGCUCCUUUUAGGAGUUAAAAUCAUGGAAGUGCACACGUUAAUUAACUCUGUGCAGUUAUACACUUUUCAUCCUCCAAUCAAGCAAGGUUACGCGCUGAAUUAAAAGCAUAAU
Molecule: ribosomal RNA, 421 nt
Filed under: Starmerella bacillaris
Lineage: Eukaryota; Fungi; Ascomycota; Dipodascomycetes; Dipodascales; Trichomonascaceae
Description: eukaryotic LSU rRNA
Rfam family: 5.8S ribosomal RNA (bases 127-275)
Source: RNAcentral